UGGCUCAGAACGAACGCUGGCGGCGCGCUUUUAAGCAUGCAAGUCGAACGGUAGAAAGGUGCUUGCACCUUUUGAGAGUGGCGAACGGGUGAGUAACACGUAAGUGAUCUGCCCGGGAAUUGGGGAUAGCCUGUGGAAACAUGGGGUAAUACCGAAUACGCCCUAUAGCUGGGAAGUUAUAGGGGAAAGGAGCUAAGGCUCCGUUUCCGGAUGAGCUUGCGGUUCAUUAGUUAGUUGGUGGGGUAAGAGCCUACCAAGGCGACGAUGAAUAGCCGGCCUGAGAGGGUGACCGGCCACACUGGGACUGAGAUACGGCCCAGACUCCUACGGGAGGCAGCAGCUAANAAUCUUCCGCAAUGGGCGAAAGCCUGACGGAGCGACGCCGCGUGAACGAAGAAGGCCGAAAGGUUGUAAAGUUCUUUUCUUGUGGAUGAAUAAGGACUGUAGGGAAUGACAGUCUGAUGACGUUAAACUUGGAAUAAGCCCCGGCUAAUUACGUGCCAGCAGCCGCGGUAACACGUAAGGGGCAAGCGUUGUUCGGAUUCAUUGGGCGUAAAGGGCGUGUAGGCGGCAUGUCAAGUCUGGUGUGAAAUAUCCCGGCUCAACCGGGAAAACGCAUUGGAAACUGACAAGCUAGAGUAUAGGAAGGGAAGCUAGAAUUCCUGGUGUAGGGGUGAAAUCUGUAGAUAUCAGGAAGAAUACCGGUGGCGAAGGCGAGCUUCUGGCCAUAUACUGACGCUGAGGCGCGAAAGCGUGGGGAGCGAAC
RNAcentral lists this ribosomal RNA (766 nucleotides) under uncultured Spirochaeta sp. RNAcentral describes it as "bacterial SSU rRNA". It matches the Rfam family "Bacterial small subunit ribosomal RNA", at positions 20 to 773 of the family's 1533-position model. Lineage: Bacteria; Pseudomonadati; Spirochaetota; Spirochaetia; Spirochaetales; Spirochaetaceae. The record is from RNAcentral.